CAGGAUUCCCAGUUAAACUUGAAUUUCAAAUACAUUAUGAAUAAUUUUUAAGUAUGAGUAUGCAUGCAAUAUUUGGGACAUACUUAUACUAAAAAAUUAUGUAUUGUCUAUCUAAAAUUCAUUUAACUGGGUAUCCUGU
RNAcentral lists this microRNA precursor (139 nucleotides) under Pteropus vampyrus (large flying fox). RNAcentral describes it as "miRNA (ENSPVAG00000025275.1)". Lineage: Eukaryota; Metazoa; Chordata; Mammalia; Chiroptera; Pteropodidae. The record is from RNAcentral.